AACGAACGCUGGCGGCAUGCCUAACACAUGCAAGUCGAACGAGACCUUCGGGUCUAGUGGCGCACGGGUGCGUAACGCGUGGGAACCUGCCUUUAGGUUCGGAAUAACUCCCCGAAAGGGGUGCUAAUACCGGAUAAUGUCUUCGGACCAAAGAUUUAUCGCCUUUGGAUGGGCCCGCGUUGGAUUAGCUAGUUGGUAGGGUAAAAGCCUACCAAGGCGACGAUCCAUAGCUGGGCUGAGAGGAUGAUCAGCCACACUGGGACUGAGACACGGCCCAGACUCCUACGGGAGGCAGCAGUGGGGAAUAUUGGACAAUGGGCGAAAGCCUGAUCCAGCAAUGCCGCGUGAGUGAUGAAGGCCUUAGGGUUGUAAAGCUCUUUUACCCGGGAUGAUAAUGACAGUACCGGGAGAAUAAGCUCCGGCUAACUCCGUG
RNAcentral lists this ribosomal RNA (433 nucleotides) under uncultured bacterium. RNAcentral describes it as "partial 16S ribosomal RNA". It matches the Rfam family "Bacterial small subunit ribosomal RNA", at positions 29 to 507 of the family's 1533-position model. The record is from RNAcentral.